This is a long non-coding RNA of Daphnia pulicaria, 1510 nucleotides long. RefSeq lists it as uncharacterized. The transcript has 2 exons. The record is from RefSeq and is a predicted model, not a curated record. Lineage: Eukaryota; Metazoa; Arthropoda; Branchiopoda; Diplostraca; Daphniidae.
UUGUUACUUACUACAUUGUCUUCAUGUCGGCUCUGAAUAAGUCUGUAGCGAGAAAAUUUGUUGGAAAAGAGGGUUUCGUUAUGGCUAAAUUAAGGAUCAACUCGAGAACCCACGCGCCGCGUGCUUGCCGCCAUUUGUGUGUGUGUGUGUGUAUGUGUGUAGUGUGUUGAGUGCGUGUGUCUGGGGCCGGCUUGAGCCCCACGCUCUAUCCCGUCGCCAUGACUGUUGGAAUAUUUACUCUUUAAGAAAAAAGGGAUCGUAAUCAGUAGAUAUUUGGGAAAAUAUGUGACAACUAUUUGGUCAGAGUCGAAUUCGAGCGUUGGACUCGAGAAUUUUGGCGCGUUGAGCAGAGUUGCCGUUGAGUUUGAUAGCCUUUCACUUCUCUCUCGAAAAGCCGGUGUGUGUGUGCGCGCGAUGACGCGCCGCCAUGUUUGUCCUAAGCUGGGGCUGCCUAGCUUCCUUCCACCACACACACAUAACUUUCCAUUUAUUUGUUAUGUUGUACAUGAUAGUUUCUUCAGGUCAUUGUCCCGUCGUUAUGACAUGUUUAAUAAGUAAUUUUUCAUGCAUUUGCUACAUGUCGUGAAUUUGUUUUCACUGAAAUUGUUAAUCUCCAGACACACACACACGACCGGCAGUUUUCGGUAUCGAACCGAUGACGCCAAGCGGCCGGCUUUUAUUUCUCGUUGGUGGUGCAGAGACUGCGCGCGGGCAUUUUGACAGCGAACCAACAGCGUUUUUAAUCGUUUAUUUUUCACAGCCUAAAAAUGCUCAAAUUAAAUUGAUUCAAGUUUCACGUGUCAUUUUUAGCUAGUUAUUUUGAUAGAAACCGGCAGGUGGCUUUUUCAGUUUUUUUAACUUUAUUUUUCGUUAUUUUCAUUUCGACCGUUUUUAGUACCUCGAGGCAGUUUGGCCAAAAACAAAAUGUCAGGCUUUUUUCCAGAUAUGAAUUCGAAUGCCGAAAAGGGGGAAAAAAUGGCGUGCCUUCUUCAGCAUGCUGUGAAGUGAGAAGCGUCUUAGCUUUUUAUUUUCUGUCGGAGGAAGCCCAUGUCGAGACUGGCGUGGAUCCGCGGAUCCAGGAACCGUCGUCUUCCGCUUCCAACAACAAAGAAACACCCGUUGGGUGGGAGGACUUUGAUGAAGGGGGUUGGGUGGGGGGCAGCUGCAGAGCAGAUGAAAAAGAAAUGUUCCUGGCUCAAAGCGAGGAAUGGGAGGGAGGAGGGUGGGUAGGAGGUCAACCCCCAAGGUUGGGAGGACGGGGUAGUGUCGUGCGCAUAACCAUGGUUUUUUUCUUUUUCCUUCUCCCCCCCAUAACUACUACCCGUGUCAGGCGAGUCCUUGGGAAGAUACUAGCGCCGGACGUGAUGCUAGCGUCGUAAAAUGGCAACUGGACAGAUAGAAAGAAAAACGUGACCGUUCGCAAUUAAGAUGCAUUUUUUGUUUUAAAAAGAAAUUCGGGUAUUCUAAGCCUCGUUACACGACAUUGAUGUGUAGUUGAAUGUUUUACUGG